This is a long non-coding RNA of Camelus dromedarius (Arabian camel), 702 nucleotides long. RefSeq lists it as uncharacterized. Lineage: Eukaryota; Metazoa; Chordata; Mammalia; Artiodactyla; Camelidae. The transcript has 3 exons. The record is from RefSeq and is a predicted model, not a curated record.
CUGGCCUGGCUGGCUGGUGGGACAACCAGCAGUGGGUUUCGGAGCCUGGAGGUCGGGAGGAAAGUCUGAGCUGGAGAUGAAUAUGCUAAAAAGGAUCUGACAGCUGUAGUGCCUGGGGCUUGGAGAGAAUCCUGAGCCAAACAUGUCCAUUGUGGCUUCAAUGCCAUCCCCAAGAAGACAUGGGUCCAAACUACGAUGUUGUCCAGUGGAACAUCCUGGAGCUCUUGCAGCCUCACCGCUGGGGGAAGGGGUGCCAGCUGACACCCCUAUAGAAGCAGGGACUCAGACAAGGGCACAUGGAGUCGUGGGCAAAUCUGAGACUGGCAGCCAGGGGACCAGACCCCAUGCCAUCCCAUUCCUGCUCCCGGAGCUGACUACUCCUGAUGCUGAAGCCCCGGUCCCUGACCUCAGUGCCCAGGCCCCUGUGAUCUUGGAUCCCCAAGACGUGCCUGGGGGUGACAUGGACCCCUGCAGUCCUGGCCCAACUUCCCCUGACUGGGGACUCCCUCCGCCUCCUCUGCCCCACCAGGCAUAGGAGUAUCUGGGCUGCUCUGAGGGUAUUUGGGUCUGGGCUGGGCCAGAUGGAGUAGGGGAGAUUUGGGGAAAUGGAAGUGGGGGCAGGUAAUAAUAAUAGCCCACCAUGUUCUCAUCAUAAGGAAAAAAGAAUUGUAACUGUGGUGAUGGAUGGUAACUAAACUUAUU